GGGGCUUCCAGAGAGGCCUCCACCAUGCAGGCCUCCCUGAAGCCUGAAGCUCAGGAAAGAGCAGGCAGGCAGGCAAAGUGUGUCCAGCACCAGAGCUCUCUGCAGACCCUCUGCCCAGCCCAGCCUUAGUAAUGGAGAGAACCUUGUCAUACAGAAGCCAACUGUUAUUCUCGCAGAGGAAGGGGAAACAGUCAAUAUAACCUGCCACUUCAGGCAUGAUGUCCUUGGGCUGUUUCUUCUGAGAACCCUUGUGAAAAGCAUGAAAGUGUUCUAUGUUACAAAUGGUGGCAGAGAUCAGACCUUUGAUCCUAACUAUAUAAAUCGCACUGUCUACUUGAAACAGUGGAACACAACAAUAAUCAUGUUGCAAGAGGUGCAGAAGAAUGACAGUGAUGUGUAUGUUUGUGAGGCAAGCUUUAAAACAGAAGAUAAGCGCGUGUCCAAGAACAGCAGUGCUACCAUCUUGGCAGUGAGAGCUAAAUCAACCUCAAACAUGAACUCAACAGAGUGUUCAUCAUCUUCCUGGAUGCCGUAUGUCAUUUUCAUCCAGUCACUGCUCUUGGUUUUUGCUCUGCUGUAUUUUAUCCUGUCUUGUACAAAUAUCAAGAAAUACUGCCAGAAAGGAAGGGGAAAGGCAGGGCAGAAUAUGAUCUAUGAAGACAUGUCUUACAGCUUGAAGCGCAGCGGGACAUACACAACUAAUCAUUAUCAGGGUUAGGCUUUUGUUCUAGGCCUGAUCCAAGCCCCCUUGGCACUGAGGCAAGCCACCCCCACCCCACCCGCAACUUUUGCAGUAUGACAGCAUACCUCACACCAGUCUCCCCAUUCCCUUGUAAUCUCCCCACUGCAAUCUCCCCAUCCCUACCCUGAUCUCCCAAAUUAGAGCAAAUUAGAGUGGAUUCAUGGUGUCUCAUUGAAAAUCUCAUUUGCUAUUAUAGAAUCUACACUCAGAAUACCUCAGAAACAACAGAACUCUGUAUGCCAUGGGUUAGCAACCCAUGGGGGUGGUUGGCACCCUAUGUUCACUACACCACCACUCACUGUGAACCACUCCAGCAGCCCCCAAGUGCACUUAUGGGGCUGCUGAAAGCUCCAUUAUACCUUAUGAGGAAAAACCUUAAAGAUGCGUAAACUUCAACAAUUCACCAAAAAUCAGCCCUCUGCCCAAAUCCUUUUUAAAAAAUUCAGGUAGCUUCCUUGCCCCUACCCCACACUACCACCAACCCCACACCUCUCUAGGCCACCCCUUUCCCCCCGACGUGAAGUGAUACACCCUCCAUUAUACCUAAUGGGGGGGAAACCUUAAAAACGCGUAAACUUCAGAAAUUCACCAAAAAUCAGCCCUCUGCCCAAUCACUCUGCAAUUGGGGUGGUAGCCGCCACCCAUUGGGCACUACCACCCCACCCACUCUUCUGCCCCAGAUCCCACUUUCUGCCCCCAAUCUGCCCCAAAGACACUAAAACUUCAAAAAUUCACCAAAAAUCAGCCCUCUGCCCAAUCCCCCUUUAAUCUGGGUGGUAGCCUCCACCCAUUGGGCACUACCACACCACCCUACUCUUUUGGCCCCAGGACCCAUUUUUUAAUCCGAAUCGAUUCAGAUUCGGAUUAAUUUGGAUCUGAAUCGAAUCAGGGGUGAUUCGGAUGGGCAAUAUUCAGAUACAAAACAAAACGGGGGUGUUUCGGUUUGGAUCCAAAUCAAAACACCGAAAAUCCGAAUUGCACACCCCUAGUUUACAUAGUAUACCUGGACAUCCAAAAAGCUUUUGAGCAUUCCUCAUCAAAGCGUUCCUCAUCAAAGACUCCUGAGAAAACGUAGCAGUCAUGGGAUAAGGGGACAAGUACAUGUGUGGAUUGCAAACUGGUUGAAAGUUAGGAAACAGAGGGUAGAGAUAAAUGGAGAGUUUUCACAAAGGAGGGAAGUAAGAAGUGGGGUCCCUCAGGGAUCUUUACUGAGACUGGUGCUUUUUAAUUUAUUCAUAAAUGAUCUAGAAGCAGGGUAAGCAGUGAGGUGGCCAGAUUUGCAGAUGAUACCAAACUCUUCUGGGUAGUAAAAUCCAAAACAGAUUGUGAGGAGCUCCAAAAGGAUCUCUCCAAACUGGGGGAGUGGGCGACAAAAUGGCAAAUGCAGUUCAGUGUUGAAAAGUGUAAAGUGAUGCACAUUGGGAUGAUAAACUCCAACUUCAAGUAUAUGCUGAUGGGAUCCGAGCUGUCGGUGGCGGACCAGGAGAGGGAUCUUGGGGUCGUGGUGGACAGCUCGUUGAAAGUGUUGACUCAAUGUGCGGCAGCUGUGAAAAAGGCCAAUUCCAUGUUAGGGAUCAUUAGGAAGGGGAUUGAAAAUAAAACUGCUAAUAUUAUAAUGCCAUUAUACAAAACUAUGGAGCAGCCACACCUGGAGUACUGUGUACAAUUCUGGUCACCACAUCGAAAAAAGACCAUUGUAGAACUGGAAACGGUAUAGAAGAGAGCAACCAAGAUGAUCAAGGGCCUAGAGAAGGGUUUCUUAACCUUGGGCCCCCAGAUGUUCAUGGAUUACAACUCCCAUCAUCCCCAGCCAUGUCCAUUGUGGCUGGGGAUGAUGGGAGUUGUAGUCCAUCAACAUCUGGGGGCCCGGUGUUAAGAAACCCUGGCCUAGAGCACCUUUCUUAUGAGGCAAGGCUACAACACCUGGGGCUAUUUAGUUUAGAAAAAAGGAUGACUGUGGGGAGACAUGAUAGAGGUCUAUAAAAUCAUGCAUGGUGUGGAGGAAGUGGAGAGAGAGAAAUUCUUUUCCCUCUCAUACAACACUAGAACCAGGGGUCAUCCCAUGAAAUUGAUUGCCAGGAAACCUAGGACCACAAACGGAAGUACUUUUUCAUACAACACACAAUCAACUUGUGGAAUUCUCUUCCACAAGAUGUGGUGACAGACAACAAACUGGAUAGCUUUAGAGGGGUUUGGAUAAAUAUUGAGGAGAGGUAUAUCAACGACUACAAGUCGGAGGGCUAUAGGCCACCUCCAGCCUCAAAGGCAAGAGGCUGGGGAGUAAUAGCAGUUGUCAAAGUGCAGUUGCAGGGGAGUAAUAGCAGGAGAGGGCAUGCCCUCAACUCAUGCCUGUAGGCUUCCAGGGGCAUUUGGUGGGCCACUGUGUGAAACAGGAUGCUGGACUAGAUGGGUCUUGGGUCUGAUCCAGCUGGGCUGUUCUUAUGUUCUUGUGUUUUGGGGGCGGUAUACAAAUAUGCUAAAUACAAUAAAAUAAAUAUAAAAAUGCCAGGGACUGACAUUGUAAAUAAAAAUACCAAAGACUGGGCCCGUCUGCACAUGGGCAUUUGCAGGACCUUUUCUGGAGCGGGGGGGGGGGGGGGCGGGGUGCAAGCUCCCACUGGUGGCCCCCUACCCCACUGUAAAUUGGCAUACAAUUUACCAGCAGACACACCCUAACCAUGCCCCCUGCAUCAACUUUAGAUACAUGGAGGCAUGGCCAUUAUUUGGAAUACUGACAGGCAUGGAUUGAGAAGGGGAAGAGCAGCCCCACUUCACAAUCCUGACAAUCCUCACUGACUGAAUCCGGGGUGGGGAGCAACUGCCUUCUUGCCCUUUCUGCAGACACUCAUGCUUCUGCAUAUAAAGCUAGUGCUCUAAUACUGAGCUAUACUGGCUUCCUAUUAUAAUGAGUAAUAGAGCCAAAAUCUAACAUAAUUCAGAUUUGUUCUUGUAAUUCUUUAAAAUCUGUGAUUCAUUUUUGAACUCAUUUUGCAUAGCAACAUGGAUUUUGUCAUUUUGCAAGUGAAAUAUGAUGAUCACAUAUAGUAGAUAUGGGGUUUCCAUCCUUUUUUCAACAGGUGUGCUCCUUCUGUUGCAAACCUUCAGCUCAGGUACCCCAUAGAGAUUGUUUAUUUGUCUGUUUUGUGUGUACACACAUACAUUAAAAAAAUAUAAAUGCUCCAGUUAUGAGACAGGCUAUACCAGCCACUGGUUUACAUCCAGACUAAGUUACUCAUAAGCAGUCUUACUAAAAUUAAUGGGACAGGUUUACGUGUCAAAAUGCUAUAGAAGAUCUAUGUUAGCUGAGAUGGCCACAAAAACCAUGCAAAAGCAGCUGCUGAAGAAAAGAUUUAUUCUGACACAUUUGGAUAACUGGUCUUUUCUAAGGAAUAUUUUCACUUGACUGCCUAAAAGAGAAGUUUCUCCCCCCCAAAAAUCCUAAGCAGACAGAGUGUACUUGUUCAAUACAUUUCAGUGGGAAUAAAGAUGUGCCGUUGAGGCGGGGUUGACUCCUAGCAAUCACAUUCAAUGUGAUAUUCUUGGUAGAAUACAGGAGUGGUUUACCAGUGCCUCCUCCUGCACAGUAUGAGAUGAUGCCUUUCAGCACCUCCCUAUAUCGCUGCUGCCCAAUAUAGGUAACUACAAAUGUAUUUACUAGGCACAGUCUAGGAAGCACACCGGCAGGGAUUUGGACUAACAGCCUCUUGCACUCUAGGCAGGGGUGUAACGAUAGGGGGGGCAGGGGGGGCACGUGCCCCAGGCGCCACUUGGGAGGGGGCGCCAAAAAGUGCCCCCGCCAGUCCCCUGCCUUUGGCAAAAAAAUUUUUUUGUGUGAUUUUUAUUUUUUUGUGUCAUUAUGGAGCUCUCCGGUGGGCGGGAGCUCCCAUUGGCUGCCGGAGAACACAUGCCCACCAUGCUGGUUGUCUCAGUUCCUCCCUCCCUGCUUGCUGCACGCACGAGGAGUAGCUUGGUUUAGUUGAGAGAGCAGCUGCUGCUGUGGACGUUCUCUGGCUCUGCCUACCUGCCGUUUGACCACCACACUGCCCUCUGGCUGCAUUUUAUUCUUCUGUUCUGCAUUAACAAAGUAAGUUUCAUUGCUAAAAUCUCUCUCUCCCCUGUGUGUGUGUUGUGUGUGAGAGAAUGCCCCUACUCCCUUGCAUAACGUCCUCCUUUUAGCUCUUCUGUGCUUUGCAUAGCAGGCUUCACCCCCCCCGACCCCUAAACCGAGGGUAGCUGCCUGCAAGUGGAGCCAGUGGGGCUCUCCUGGCUUGCAUUGUGUGAGUUUCUGGCUUGCAUUGUG
Hemicordylus capensis (graceful crag lizard) is the source of this 5042-nucleotide RNA transcript. RefSeq lists it as uncharacterized. NCBI's taxonomy places the organism in Eukaryota, Metazoa, Chordata, Lepidosauria, Squamata, Cordylidae. The transcript has 4 exons. The record is from RefSeq and is a predicted model, not a curated record.